AGUCGACGCAUCGCAGAUGAGUGGCAGACGGGUGAGUAACGCGUGGGAACAUACCCUUUCCUGCGGAAUAGCUCCGGGAAACUGGAAUUAAUACCGCAUACGCCCUACGGGGGAAAGAUUUAUCGGGGAAGGAUUGGCCCGCGUUGGAUUAGCUAGUUGGUGGGGUAAAGGCCUACCAAGGCGACGAUCCAUAGCUGGUCUGAGAGGAUGAUCAGCCACAUUGGGACUGAGACACGGCCCAAACUCCUACGGGAGGCAGCAGUGGGGAAUAUUGGACAAUGGGCGCAAGCCUGAUCCAGCCAUGCCGCGUGAGUGAUGAAGGCCUUAGGGUUGUAAAGCUCUUUCACCGGAGAAGAUAAUGACGGUAUCCGGAGAAGAAGCCCCGGCUAACUUCGUGCCAGCAGCCGCGGUAAUACGAAGGGGGCUAGCGUUGUUCGGAAUUACUGGGCGUAAAGCGCACGUAGGCGGAUAUUUAAGUCAGGGGUGAAAUCCCAGAGCUCAACUCUGGAACUGCCUUUGAUACUGGGUAUCUUGAGUAUGGAAGAGGUAAGUGGAAUUCCGAGUGUAGAGGUGAAAUUCGUAGAUAUUCGGAGGAACACCAGUGGCGAAGGCGGCUUACUGGUCCAUUACUGACGCUGAGGUGC
RNAcentral lists this ribosomal RNA (644 nucleotides) under Rhizobium sp. lichtii. RNAcentral's name for it is "bacterial SSU rRNA". It matches the Rfam family "Bacterial small subunit ribosomal RNA", at positions 60 to 754 of the family's 1533-position model. Lineage: Bacteria; Pseudomonadati; Pseudomonadota; Alphaproteobacteria; Hyphomicrobiales; Rhizobiaceae. The record is from RNAcentral.